Molecule: long non-coding RNA, 5300 nt
Organism: Gadus chalcogrammus (walleye pollock)
Lineage: Eukaryota; Metazoa; Chordata; Actinopteri; Gadiformes; Gadidae
Exons: 8
Source: RefSeq, a predicted model, not a curated record
AGUUUCAAAACGAAUGCGCGACAGAACGCUGCCAAUAUUCACGUGACUCAAAGCUUGCGCCUGCAUGGUCAAAUCUCUGAAAAGUCAGUUCUGAAAAAAGACAUUGCAAUGGCGUAAACGUACACCUUUACAUGUUUUUAACACCUGUUCCCAUUUACAAGGUUUCAAAACCGGGAAACAAUGAAAUACACUGUUCGAACAGUGCCAGAUUUGAAACUCUGCAAAUGCGCAGGUGAUAUUGUUAGAACUUUGAAAAUGUGUUGGUGAAAAUUAUGAAGAUAAAAUAGAACGCAAAAUCAUGUUUACAGAUGUUUGAAUUUUAGUUUGAAUUUAUAAGCCUUUGAAACUUUUUUUUUCAGGUUGGAAUUAUGGCAGGAAACUGGCUCCAUAGCAUUGCGCUCUCGAAAUGCAUUUUGGGUCCGUCCGUUCAGACCUGUCCAUCCAUGGUUCAGAGUCGCACUCGCGACGCUCAUCCGUCGAAGGACGCAUGAUGUGUGGAACAAGCGCACAUAGGCCUACCUGAUCGCGUUCAUUUGUUCGCCUCCCUCCACCUCCCUCUCUCUCCGGUGCAUAUUUAAGCCACUUCUUCAGUGUCCCUGAAAAAACAACAUGGGUGGUCCCUGGCAGCUGUUUUUGGAGUGCAGCUGAAAGAAAGAAAGAAAGAAAGAAAGAAGGAAAGAAACCCGGUCAAGAAUUACCAACAUUGCGACGAUACUUCCUACAAAUACUGAGUAAUGUAGUGGAUGGCUGGAAAGAAGAGGGGGUUUCUCUCAUAACAGCCUCUGCUAAUUGAAACUCCUCCAUGGUCCUCAGAGGCAGCUUGAUGGACGAAGCGGCAGCUUCUGGUGCUACCGGCCUCACCAUCUCUCUCCUAAGCGCCCUCACUUCACUCCCCAGGGGGGGUGGUGCCUCGUCAUCAGUGUCCACACCUUAGCAUAGGUCUUCAGCCUCUGACUGUAUGUCUGAUGUUAAACACAGUAAGGACUUUUUCAGGUAGUCCUUUGCCUUAACAUAUGUUGCUGAAAGUGAAUGGCAUGCAUUAGUGAAAUUUAGCAAGUUGAAUCUUAUAGAAACGUUUUCAUAUGCAGCAUUUUUCCUUACCACAGCUAACCAAGACCCUCACGUCACCGUGCACGUCCCACGCUGCACCUGGAGGAAGGUGGUGCGCGACUGCCUUCUGGAGGCGGUUAUGAUCGUAAGAACUAGGAGGCCAGAAACAAUUCCAUGACUCCCCUGCCUCCUCCAACCAGCUGCUUGGCACUAUGGUAGUGCUCCUAUCUUUGAAUUCGACGACCUUCCACACCUGUGCCAUCUGUCAAUGAGAAGACAAGGAAUUAGGAUUGGUGAAGAAGAGGGAUGGCAACAUAAUGGUCUUGGUCUGGAAAAAGCACACAUUUUCUGCUGACAUCCCCAAGGAGCUCAACCUCAAGAUCAUCUACCAACGUAUGGACCUGAAAACAGCCUAUUCGAGAGGAGGGGCAGGGAUAUGUGAAAUGGGAUUCCUUGUACCCAAAUCGUCUGUAGAUGAUGAAGACUGAACCAGAGGAUAGCACAAUGUUUUGGACCAGUCCAAUAUCCUGUCCUACUGCUAUGCAGUUGUUCCCAGUCUUUGUUGACAGGCAGAAAUCUGUUGUUACUACCUUUCUGUACUGUUUGGCAGUACUGAAUUGCAGAGGCAAAGGACCAUCCUGGUGCAUUUCGUACAAAAGGGGCUGCUUACUUGGAGGUGGAGUUACAGUUUGAGGCACCUCUGACAGUCUCUUGACUACUUGUUGUAAUGGUAGUUGAGGCUUUCGCAACAUUUUUUUUACUUUUCCAAGGAAGUUUUCAUAAGGAAAUGCAGAGACACGGUCAAGGGCACCAAACUGUUUGUACACAUCAGCUAGAUGUAUCACCUGAUGAACUGUAAAUACAAUUUCUCCUUGACCAUAUAAAUCUCCAAAGCUUUUAACAAAUGCUGUUAGGACUCGAUUGGCAAAAUCAAUCAUGGGUGCAGAGAGGUUGGGGCUGAGUAAUAAGAACACACCCACGGAAAACAACAGGAAGUUCUCAAAAAUCUCUUCUGGUAGAUUGUGCUUUAGGACCACAGGUCCACUGUAAAUCAUGAACUGCCUUAGUUCUGUAGCCUUCCAUCUUUCGAUCUCUGUCAGCUCUCGUGGUUUUCGGGCAAAUUCAGAUGGAAUAUGGGGACGGAGAGCAAUCAGUUUAGAUGAUAUAGCUGAGAUGACAUUAGAUGGCUGUCUUAUGGCCAGGUUUUUGCCCUUCAUCCAGAAAAGAAUGAGUUUUUUUGUUACACCCAAACAGCAGAGGUGCAUGUAAUCAAUGGGAAACUGGGUUACCAUCUGAACAAUGCCAGUAAGGGGACUAGGUCGCAGGUGGUGAUCUGUGUCUGACAUUAAAGCAAAGUCUUCGUCUGUUCUAAGCCUGGCAUUUAUUUCAGGAUAUGUCAUUUUAUUUUGCCACACGCCAACUUGAUUGCACUUGUCACACCCAGAGUACCCAUUGUGGGACUUCAUCUGUUUCACAAAAGCACGUGCUGGAGCAUCACAAAUGAAGGAGCACACCAUCACCUUUAGAGGUUUACCUCUGAAGGUCAAUCCAUUCCUCAGUAGCUGGGUAAGGUCAUUGACAAAUUCUUUGAGGUAGUCAUACACACUAGAUGGUUUUCCACUUCCACAAAACAAACCAAUAAUAAAAGGUUUUUUUGUGUAAUCACAAUCGAGCAUCGCAAGAAUUGGCCAAAACUGAACUUUUGAACUCUUAAAAAUGGGUAAACCGUCGAUGUUGAAUUGUAACCGAAUUGUCUGAAGGCAGCUAGGCAAAUGGAUUGAAUUCAAUUUUGAUAAAAUUCCCUUAGCCAAUCCAAAAUGGUGAUAUUCACCACCACCUAAUGCAUGCACAGCUAUUUUCUUUUGUGUGCCAAGAAGUGUCCUGGCAUCUUUAGGCAGCUCAGAGUGGUGUACUCUCAAUAUUGAUAGAAGAGCGGUAACUGCAACAAGAGUAAUGCCAAAAGUUGAUGCCCAUUGCUUUAGUUUAACUUGUAAACUCAUUUCCUCAGGCUCACUUUCAUCAGAGCUGGAUAACCCACUAAAAUCCUCUCUUUCACUGGCAUCACUGUCUGUAGUGUUUUGGUCAGGACUGUUUGCCACUGUUGCCCCACACAGUGCUAGAUCUGGUAAGCUAGGGGGGGCAUUUUCAGCCUGAUUAACUGUACUUAAAUGUAAUUGCUGCAAAAUCUCGUUCUCUGUCUCCCUUGCGUUGGACAAGACUCGCCUCCUUUUACUCCAAUAAGAGGCCAUCUCUGUGUGUAUCGGAUACAAUUUUGAAAUGCAAGUUUGAUACCUUUUCUGCCGUGAGCUUUGAAUGGUCUUCAGUGUCCCAUAAAUAUGCAAAUGAAGAAGAAAAAAAACACAAAGUUAGUUUUGAUGGCAUAGUGUGACAACAAUGAAUAGUUGCAUUUAACCCUUUCACAUGCAAGUGAAGAAUCCCCCUUCUAAUAAUGUAUAGCCUAUUAAGGACCUAUUUCAGGAUAAAUAUACAAAUACAUUCACAUUGAAGUGUAGAAGGUCCUACAGGCAGCUGUAAUAAACUAAGAUAUACUAUUUAUGAGAUGGCUUGCAGUGUGCUUAUCUGACAGGAUUAAAACCGUGCAUUCUGUGUGAAUGUGUAUUUGAAUGUUAACAUUUAAUAACAUGUCGUUUUUAGUUAUGUAAUCAUUUGAAAGUCCCUUCAAGUUGAAAAGUACAUGCAUUCUUAUUAUGGCCACACCUGGCGUACUAGUAAAUCAACUGUGAUCAGAUUGGUUAAAAAAAAAGAGGCUGCGUGUGAUUUCAGUUCCGGUUCAAUGCAUUUGUAAUGAGGGGCCGCACUUCUGUGCAGUGUGCACAUUAGUCGUCGUUGCCAGCAGGCUGCACCCGACAGCCAAGGGAUUUACAUGUGGCAUAGCAAGUCUCUGAGCAGUGUCUCACACUCGAGUCCUGACCGAGGGCCUUGAAACUGGCAUGCCUGUUCAAAACAUCUCCAGGACAACAAGAAGAUGAAGGAGAAUGCGUGCAGUGGGCUGAAUGGAGAAUUCGUGAAUCAAAGGCAACACCAUCAAAUGCAUUAUGAAAUUAAGCACUAUCAGGUUGUCAAGGCUGUAGCUCAGCCAACACAUUGGAUCGGCCCUCCGCAUGGUCCUGUAUGCUGCAGUUCUUUGUGCCACAAGAGGCCAAGAAGCUCUACUACAAGAAGUUGAGGCAGAAGAUGAAGAUUAUUACAAAUUAUCCAAGUCAGUUCCUUCCGACCAAGUAAUUUGAUUGGACAAGAGGCAUUCCAGUGCUGAUAUAGAGUAUAACAGCACUGGGUCUUUUAACUAUCCACGUAUCGCUCCGCUUUACGGGUGUUCUCAUAACCGUUAAUGUUAUCAACAAUCUUUUUGUAGCUUAGAUUGCAGCUGAAUUAAGUUGAAUUAAGAAUGGUCGCCAGAAGAGGAACAAGGGAACCUAAUGUAAUGCUAAUGUGUUUGUGUUGCUUGGCAACAGUUCAGUCCAGUUGCGGAUCUAUUUGUGUUGGCGGAGCCAAAUAAAUCAUUAAUGAACCAAAGAAAUCUGAACAUAAUAUGUUGUUAAUUAUUAUUGUUAACUAAUGAUUGGUGCUUGUAGAACUGUUGGAUAAAAGCAAUAUCACUCAGGAGUGAGUGCUGUUGUACUACGGCUGGGAAGAGAAUCACAGCCGUGCUGAUAUUCAGUACAACAGCACUCCCUCUUGUGUGAUAUUGCUUAAUUAUUCUGUUCCAAAAUUCCAUAAAAAGUCUCAUUACUAAGAAAUAUUGAUGUAUAGUUACUUUUGUCAGUUUCAAGUUUUUGUUUUAACACGGGGGUACCAACAAUGUGUAUGAUGUAUGACUACCUUAAAGCAUUUGUCGAUGAUCUCACCCAGCUGCUGAGAGAACCUUCAGAGGUAAACCUCUAAGGUGUGCUCCUUUUAUAAGCGAUGCUCCAGCAUGUGCUUUCUCCAAAACAGUGUGCUAUCCUCUGGUUCAGUCUUUAUCAUCUACAGUUGAUUUAGGUACAAAAAAAGUCCAUUUCACGUAUCCCAUCGAUUAAAUGCACCUCUGCUGUUUGGGUGUAAAUUUUGCCAUCACUAUUUCUUGUUACGGAGAUGAAGACAACUACUUGUCUCUUUCAUGCAUCUCCUUUGUCCACAUCUAUGUUUGGGGAAUGUAAUUUGAAGCCAUUCCGUAAGUGUUUGCUAUGCCUCAUUGUUUAUUUUACUGCAUACUACAUUGGCACACUUGGGGAAAAAAAUAUAUUUUACUC